Passer domesticus (house sparrow) is the source of this 1907-nucleotide long non-coding RNA. RefSeq lists it as uncharacterized. NCBI's taxonomy places the organism in Eukaryota, Metazoa, Chordata, Aves, Passeriformes, Passeridae. The record is from RefSeq and is a predicted model, not a curated record. The transcript is spliced from 3 exons.
GCCUCCCAUCCGCCCUUUUCCCGCCCCACCCCCAAAUUUUGGGGCUCGCCCUCAUUUUUUGGGGGCGCCCGGGGCGAUUUUGGGGCUCCGUGAGCUGGAGGCGCUCCCCGAUGACGUCACCAAGCUCCCGAGCCGGUUUUUGGGGCGCCCGGACCGGUUUUGGGGUUUUUUAUUUUGGGCUCGGCCUCGUUUUUGGGGGGUUCAAUUAAAGGCUUUGGGCUCUUAAUUAAAGUUUUUGGGGCGCUGAUGACGUCAUAGCGGUGGGAAUGGGGUGCUGGCGGUGAUGACGUCACCGCACCCCAAAAAUGCGGCUCCGCCCCCCCCAUCCCCCAAAAUCCCAGAGCGGCCGCGGCCGAAUUUGGGGUGAAACUGCUCGGGAUCAGUUUUGGGACCAUGGGGCGCCUGUGCCGCUGCUGCCGCCGCCGGGGUCACCCCAAGGGUCACCCCAAGGGUCACCCCAAGGGUCACCCCAAGGGUCACUCCCGGGGUCACCCCAAGGGUCAGCGCCACCCCCCGGCCCUGCUCCCCUCCCCCAGCCCAGGGGCCCUGCCCGCCGAUGACGUCACCGAUGACGUCAGCAGUGCCCGCUUACGUCAUCUGGCCGCCCCCGGCCAUCGUCACCGUGGGGACGCCGCGGGUGGCGCUGCUGGGGGAGCCCGAGCCCCAAAUCCGCUGCUUUUAGCCCCAAAAAGGAGAAUUGCACCCCAAAAUUCGGAUUUUUAACCCCAAAAUCGAGAAUUUUUAAAAAAUUCGGGAAAUUAGGACCAAAAAUUGGGAUUUUAGAACAAAAAAUUGGGAUUUUAGAAGCAAAAAAUGAGAUUUUGAUGAAAAAUUGGGAUUUUGAGCCCCAAAAACGGAGACUUUAACCCCAAAACUGGGAUUUUUAACCCCAAAAUUGAGAAUUUCUAAAAAAAAUUCGGGAAUUUAUGACCAAAAAUUAGGAUUUUAGAACAAAAAGUUGGGAUUUUAUAAGCAAAAAAAGGGAGAUUUUUGAUUAAAAAAUCGGAUUUUGAACCCCAAAAAUGGAGAAUUUCACCCCAAAAAUGAGAACUUCUACCAAAAUCGGGGAUUUGUGACCAAAAAUUGGGAUUUUAACCCCCAAAUUUCGGAUAUUUUACCCAAAUUGAGAUUUUUGGACACCAAAUAAAGAUUUUUUUCAUCCCUAAUUUGUGAGUUUUGACCCAAAAUGUUGAUUUUUAACCCUAAAUUGACAUUUUUCACCCCAAAUUUUUGGUUUUUGACCCAAAAUGUUCAUUCUUCACCCCAAAUUUGUGAUUUUCUGACCCAAAAUGUUGAUUUUUAACCCCAAAUUUGCGAUUUUUGGACCCAAAAUAUUGAUUUUUCGCCACGAAAUUGUGAAUUUCGACCCAAAAUGUUAUUUUUAACCGUAAAUUGAGUUUUAUGAACCCAAAUUUGUGAUUUUUGACCCUAAAUUGAGAUUUUUUUCACCCCAAAGUUUUGAUUUUUGACCCAAAAUGUUCAUUUUUAACCCUAAAUUUGCGAUUUUUGAACCCAAAUUUGAGAUUUCUGACCCAAAAUGUUGAUUUUUCACCCCAAAUUUGUGAUUUUUGACCCAAAAUGUUGAUUUUUAACCCUAAAUUGAGAUUUUUCACCCCAAAUUUGCAAUUUUGGACCCAAAUAAAGAUUUUUUUCCCCCCCAAUUCCGUCUCUGGCUGCUGAAAACCAAACCCGGGGAUUUUUUACCCCAAAUUUGGAGUUUUUAGCCCCAAAAUGGAGGAAUUUGGGGGUGGGGGAGGGGCGGACUGGCGCCUUUAGGGGAGGGGGCGUGGCCAUGGAUGGGGCGGGGGCUGGGCUUGGCCACGCCCCCUCUGUUGCCUCUUUGCGCCUUAAAAGGGAAACGCAAAAGCGAUACUGGUUUGUACUGGUUUGUACUGGUUUGUACUGGU